This 446-nucleotide ribosomal RNA is filed under the name uncultured bacterium. Its description in RNAcentral is "partial 16S ribosomal RNA". It matches the Rfam family "Bacterial small subunit ribosomal RNA", at positions 338 to 795 of the family's 1533-position model. The record is from RNAcentral.
CCUACGGGGGGCAGCAGUCGAGAAUCAUUCACAAUGGGGGAAACCCUGAUGGUGCGACGCCGCGUGGGGGAAUGAAGGUCUUCGGAUUGUAAACCCCUGUCAUGUGGGAGCAAAUUAAAAAGAUAGUACCACAAGAGGAAGAGACGGCUAACUCUGUGCCAGCAGCCGCGGUAAUACAGAGGUCUCAAGCGUUGUUCGGAAUCACUGGGCGUAAAGCGUGCGUAGGCGGUUUCGUAAGUCGUGUGUGAAAGGCGCGGGCUCAACCCGCGAACGGCACAUGAUACUGCGAGACUAGAGUGAUGGAGGGGGAACCGGAAUGCUCGGUGUAGCAGUGAAAUGCGUAGAGAUCGAGAGGAACACUCGUGGCGAAGGCGGGUUCCUGGACAUUAACUGACGCUGAGGCACGAAGGCCAGGGGAGCGAAAGGGAUUAGAUACCCCAGUAGUC